Limulus polyphemus (Atlantic horseshoe crab) is the source of this 100-nucleotide long non-coding RNA. RefSeq lists it as uncharacterized. NCBI's taxonomy places the organism in Eukaryota, Metazoa, Arthropoda, Merostomata, Xiphosura, Limulidae. The transcript is spliced from 3 exons. The record is from RefSeq and is a predicted model, not a curated record.
CAAUUCCUUAAUAUCAUCAGCAAAUUUAAGUAAUUUAUUGACCAUUCCUUCACGUAUGUCAUUAAUGUAUAUCAAAAAGAGCAAACACACUUGUGAGAUU